Molecule: ribosomal RNA, 941 nt
Filed under: uncultured crenarchaeote
Lineage: Archaea; Thermoproteati; Thermoproteota
Description: bacterial SSU rRNA
Rfam family: Archaeal small subunit ribosomal RNA
Source: RNAcentral
UUCCGGUUGAUCCUGCCGGACCCCACUGCUAUCGGGAUAGGACUAAGACAUGCUAGUCGUGUGCCUCAGCCAAAACGAGGCACGGCGCACAGCUCAGUAACACGUGGCUAACCUGCCCUUAGGACGAGAAUAACCCCGGGAAACUGGGGCUAAUGCUCGAUAGGUGAAGAACUCUGGAAUGAGUCUUCACUUAAAAGAGUCUGCGUUAUGCCCGUAGAUUUCGCUUAAGGAUGGGGCCGCGACCGAUCAGGUUGUUGGUGAGGUAAUGGCUCACCAAGCCUUUUACCGGUGCGGGCCGCGAGAGCGGGAGCCCGGAGAUGGGCACUGAGACAAGGGCCCAGGCCCUACGGGGCGCAGCAGUCGCGAAAACUUUGCAAUACACGAAAGUGUGACAGGGCUAUCCCGAGUGCCAUCCGCUGAGGAAGGCUUUUACCCAGUCUAGAACGCUGGGGGAAUAAGGAGAGGGCAAGUCUGGUGUCAGCCGCCGCGGUAAUACCAGCUCUCCGAGUGGUGUGGAUGUUUAUUGGGCCUAAAGCAUCCGUAGCUGGCUAAGUUAGUCCCCUGUUAAAUCCAACGAAUUAAUCGUUGGAUCGCGGGGGAUACUGCUUGGCUAGGGGACGAGAGAGGCAGACGGUAUUUCCGGGGUAGGGGUGAAAUCCUAUAAUCCCGGGAAGACCACCAGUGGCGAAGGCUGUCUGCUAGAACGCGCCCGACGGUGAGGGAUGAAAGCUGGGGGAGCGAACCGGAUUAGAUACCCGGGUAGUCCCAGCUGUAAACGAUGCAGGCUAGGUGUUUGGACGGCCACGUGCCGUUCUAGUGCCGCAGGGAAGCUGUUAAGCCUGCCGCCUGGGGAGUACGAUCGCAAGAUUGAAACUUAAAGGAAUUGGCGGGGGAGCACCACAAGGGGUGAAGCUUGCGGUUUAAUUGGAUUCAACGCCGGG